CCAGGGUGGGAUUUGGCAGUUGGCCAG
Molecule: non-coding RNA, 27 nt
Filed under: Homo sapiens (human)
Lineage: Eukaryota; Metazoa; Chordata; Mammalia; Primates; Hominidae
Source: RNAcentral